GUGUCAGCAGCCGCGGUAAGACAGAGGGUGCAAACGUUGUUCGGAAUUACUGGGCAUAAAGCGCACGUAGGUGGUCCGCUAAGUCGCGUGUGAAAUCCCCCGGCUCAACCGGGGAACUGCGCGUGAUACUGGCGGGCUCGAGAUCGGGAGGGGUGAGUGGAACUCCAGGUGGAGCGGUGAAAUGCGUAGAUAUCUGGAGGAACACCGGUGGCGAAAGCGGCUCACUGGCCCGAUACUGACACUCAGGUGCGAAAGCUAGGGUAGCAAACGGGAUUAGAUACCCGAGUAGUCC
RNAcentral lists this ribosomal RNA (292 nucleotides) under uncultured bacterium. Its description in RNAcentral is "partial 16S ribosomal RNA". It matches the Rfam family "Bacterial small subunit ribosomal RNA", at positions 505 to 796 of the family's 1533-position model. The record is from RNAcentral.